This 63-nucleotide transfer RNA is filed under the name Elysia timida. Its description in RNAcentral is "tRNA-Thr". It matches the Rfam family "tRNA". Rfam says of the family: Transfer RNA (tRNA) molecules are approximately 80 nucleotides in length. Their secondary structure includes four short double-helical elements and three loops (D, anti-codon, and T loops). The record is from RNAcentral. Lineage: Eukaryota; Metazoa; Mollusca; Gastropoda; Plakobranchidae.
UUCGGAGUAGCUUAAAUAAAGCUUUGAUUUUGUAAUUCAAAGAUGGGGCGACCCCUUCCGAAU